Cheilinus undulatus (humphead wrasse) is the source of this 1685-nucleotide long non-coding RNA. RefSeq lists it as uncharacterized. Lineage: Eukaryota; Metazoa; Chordata; Actinopteri; Labriformes; Labridae. The transcript is spliced from 6 exons. The record is from RefSeq and is a predicted model, not a curated record.
AGGGAUUUAAGAUGCUACCACCUUGGGAAUUUGAGUGGCCACCACCUCAGGAAUUUGAGUGGCCACCACCUCAGGAAUUUGAGUGGCCACCACCUCAGGUGCCUUUCAACCCACAAAAAAUCGUGGUGUGGUGACAAAAUAAUGACAAGAUGAGAAGAUAAUGGAUUGUAUCAACAAUCAUGACAUACGCUGUGGUGGGGUGUUGACUUAAGAUGCCGAUGGGGAAGAUUCCUGCUGCAACAAAGAUCACAUUUUGUCUUUAAGCAAAUGUCACCAAUGAUGUAGCGUAAUCAGGUUUCCUUUUUGGAUUCUGUCAUUAACCUGAUAAUAUUUUCUGUCACUUUGUGGCAAUACAGCACAAAUAAGAAUGAAGAUUAGCAAGUAUUAAAUUUCCAUAAGAUGGUGUGUAAAUUGUCUUCAUUUGGUCUUUUUAAAUCAUUGUCUUAAUUUCCUGUGCAUUGCAUUGCUUCAACAGACAAUUCAUAAUGUAUAUAAAAGGAACAAUGAUUUGCCAGAUAACUUUUAAAAAAACCUCAACAGUAUAGAUGGCAGUCAGAGCUGAGAAUCUGAGGCACUCUGAUGUAAUAAAAAUCAUUUGUUAAACAGGAAUAUCUACGUGUUUCAACUCUAACGAGUCUUCAUCAGAAUAUGGCAGUUCAUAAAACUAAAGGUGUGCUAGAGAGUGGCAUCAUGACUGGACCUCUUCUCUGGAUUAUUAUGAAGGUGUGGACAAGUUUGUUUGACUAACAUCUUCACUAACGUUGAUUUUGUCGAACUAAACAUAGAACAAAAAGUAAGGAAAUUUGUCUUUGGUACAUUAUUUCUUUGUUGUAACAUGCUUCUUGGCAGUAAAAAAGCCCACAAAAGGCAAACUCCACACAGAAAGGCUCUGAUUGACAGGGACUCUAACCAGGAAUCUUUCUCCAAUGUAGCAACAGCACUAAUCCCUGCAGCACUCCUUAGGAAUUCCAUCUACUGUGAAGAAAUUCGUCUGCGUUCAGCAGCUACAUCCAGCAUGUUGCAGAUGUCCUUGUGUCAAAGGUUAUCAUGUUGCAUCAACUAUUGGCUGAAAGUUUGUUUUCUUGAAGUCAGUUUGAAGUCAGUUUGUGAUAACAAACGAGCCGUUUGGUAUCACAAACAUUUGCUAGGUGUUUGAUAUUAUACACCUAUCCUAACAGGUCUACUUAAAACACCUGAAUUCAAUAAUUAACAGGUGUUGCCAGACACUUGAACACCAUAAACUGUAUGUCCAUCAUAAUUUUGAAUUCAGGUCGUCCCUCCAGUGUCAGUAUUGUCCUUGGUCUGUCCUCUGUUUGAUAGUGCCCUGACAAAAGCAAACAUUAGGAGAGUCAAUGUGUACAGCAAACAUGAAACAUCAAACAUCUUGCACAAUUUUUAAAAUCCCUGUUAUAUAACUCAGUGUCAGAAAACAAUGACCUGAUAGACACAUGUCUGUGAAAAGGGAAACUGCUGCAGCAGCAGCAGCUUUAUGCAUGUACUUGAGUUUUAUUUCUAGAGAAGAUAAAAACUGUUCAUCUAUAAAAUGCAUGGGGAUAAUUCAUAAAAGUCAUGAACAGUUAAAUGGUGAUACAUCUUUGAUCAUUAUUGUAAUUAUUGUUGAAGAAUAUCUGAACAAUGUAAAAGGCAUGAAAAGUUUUUUCUCAUGACAUUUUUUCCACCUGUAA